CGCGACCAUAGAGAGGGGGAUCACCCGGUCCCAUUCCGAACCCGGCAGUUAAGCCCCUCUUCGCCGAAAGUACUGCGGUGCAGUCCGUGGGAGGAUAGGGCGUCGC
This 106-nucleotide ribosomal RNA is filed under the name human gut metagenome. The record is from RNAcentral.